CCCGGCUUACCAACCCGAUGCAAACUGCGAAUACCGGAGAAUGUUAUCACGGGAGACACACGGCGGGUGCUAACGUCCGUCGUGAAGAGGGAAACAACCCAGACCGCCAGCUAAGGUCCCAAAGUCAUGGUUAAGUGGGAAACGAUGUGGGAAGGCCCAGACAGCCAGGAUGUUGGCUUAGAAGCAGCCAUCAUUUAAAGAAAGCGUAAUAGCUCACUGGUCGAGUCGGCCUGCGCGGAAGAUGUAACGGGGCUAAACCAUGCACCGAAGCUGCGGCAGCGACACUGUGUGUUGUUGGGUAGGGGAGCGUUCUGUAAGCCUGUGAAGGUGUGUCGUGAGGCAUGCUGGAGGUAUCAGAAGUGCGAAUGCUGACAUAAGUAACGAUAAAGCGGGUGAAAAGCCCGCUCGCCGGAAGACCAAGGGUUCCUGUCCAACGUUAAUCGGGGCAGGGUGAGUCGACCCCUAAGGCGAGGCCGAAAGGCGUAGUCGAUGGGAAACGGGUUAAUAUUCCCGUACUUGGUGUUACUGCGAAGGGGGGACGGAGAAGGCUAUGUUGGCCGGGCGACGGUUGUCCCGGUUUAAGCGUGUAGGUGUGUGUUCCAGGUAAAUCCGGUUCACUUUAACACUGAGGCGUGACGACGAGGCACUACGGUGCUGAAGCAACAAAUGCCCUGCUUCCAGGAAAAGCCUCUAAGCAUCAGGUAACAUCAAAUCGUACCCCAAACCGACACAGGUGGUCAGGUAGAGAAUACCAAGGCGCUUGAGAGAACUCGGGUGAAGGAACUAGGCAAAAUGGUGCCGUAACUUCGGGAGAAGGCACGCUGACACGUAGGUGAAGUGAUUUACUCAUGGAGCUGAAGUCAGUCGAAGAUACCAGCUGGCUGCAACUGUUUAUUAAAAACACAGCACUGUGCAAACACGAAAGUGGACGUAUACGGUGUGACGCCUGCCCGGUGCCGGAAGGUUAAUUGAUGGGGUCAGCGCAAGCGAAGCUCCUGAUCGAAGCCCCGGUAAACGGCGGCCGUAACUAUAACGGUCCUAAGGUAGCGAAAUUCCUUGUCGGGUAAGUUCCGACCUGCACGAAUGGCGUAAUGAUGGCCAGGCUGUCUCCACCCGAGACUCAGUGAAAUUGAACUCGCUGUGAAGAUGCAGUGUACCCGCGGCAAGACGGAAAGACCCCGUGAACCUUUACUAUAGCUUGACACUGAACAUUGAGCCUUGAUGUGUAGGAUAGGUGGGAGGCUUUGAAGUGUGGACGCCAGUCUGCAUGGAGCCGACCUUGAAAUACCACCCUUUAAUGUUUGAUGUUCUAACGUGGACCCGUUACCCGGGUUGCGGACAGUGUCUGGUGGGUAGUUUGACUGGGGCGGUCUCCUCCUAAAGAGUAACGGAGGAGCACGAAGGUUGGCUAAUCCUGGUCGGACAUCAGGAGGUUAGUGCAAUGGCAUAAGCCAGCUUGACUGCGAGCGUGACGGCGCGAGCAGGUGCGAAAGCAGGUCAUAGUGAUCCGGUGGUUCUGAAUGGAAGGGCCAUCGCUCAACGGAUAAAAGGUACUCCGGGGAUAACAGGCUGAUACCGCCCAAGAGUUCAUAUCGACGGCGGUGUUUGGCACCUCGAUGUCGGCUCAUCACAUCCUGGGGCUGAAGUAGGUCCCAAGGGUAUGGCUGUUCGCCAUUUAAAGUGGUACGCGAGCUGGGUUUAGAACGUCGUGAGACAGUUCGGUCCCUAUCUGCCGUGGGCGCUGGAGAACUGAGGGGGGCUGCUCCUAGUACGAGAGGACCGGAGUGGACGCAUCACUGGUGUUCGGGUUGUCAUGCCAAUGGCACUGCCCGGUAGCUAAAUGCGGAAGAGAUAAGUGCUGAAAGCAUCUAAGCACGAAACUUGCCCCGAGAUGAGUUCUCCCUGAGACUUAGAGUCUCCUGA
This 1923-nucleotide ribosomal RNA is filed under the name Salmonella enterica subsp. enterica serovar Enteritidis. RNAcentral describes it as "partial 23S ribosomal RNA". It matches the Rfam family "Bacterial large subunit ribosomal RNA", at positions 930 to 2831 of the family's 2925-position model. The record is from RNAcentral. Lineage: Bacteria; Pseudomonadati; Pseudomonadota; Gammaproteobacteria; Enterobacterales; Enterobacteriaceae.